This 1105-nucleotide long non-coding RNA is filed under the name Marmota monax (woodchuck). The record is from RNAcentral. Lineage: Eukaryota; Metazoa; Chordata; Mammalia; Rodentia; Sciuridae.
UUCUAUCCUGUGGAUCUUCAUGCCUGUACCUCACCCGUACCUCACUGUUCUGCUCAUAGUAACUGCAAGUUUGAGACCAGGAAGAGUGAUGGGUCUGGUCAUUUCCCUACGGACUUUAGGAUCAGUUUUUCUGUGUCUUUAGAAAAGCACCUGGAGUUUUUAUAGAAAUUGCAUCAAAUCUGUGGGUGAGGCUGGGUGGUGUUGCCACAUCAAUCACAUUGAGACUUCCAAUCCAUGAACACAGAAUGCCUUUCCACUUAUUUAGCUCAUUUCUGAUUCUCAUUACUAUGUUUUGUAAUCUUCAGUGUUCAAAUCUUGCACUUUCUUGGUUAAAUUUAUUCCUAAGUAUUUUAUUCUCUUGUAAAAUGGAGUUGCUUUCUUAUUUUCAAUUUUGGAGUCUCUACUGCUAGCGUACCAAUUAUAGCCUUUGUUUUUCUUUUGUGGUACUGGUCUUGAACCUAGGGACUCACAUGCUAGGUAAGUGGUCUACCAUAGAGCUAUACCCCAGCCCCUGCCUCCAGCCCUUUUUAAACUUAAUUUUGAGACAGGUUCUCACUAAGUUGCCCAGGCUGGUCUUGAACUUGAGAUCCUCCUGUCUUGGCCUUCCAGGAUGCUAGGAUCACAGGUGCACCAUGUCGCCUAGUUUUUUUUUGGCUUCUGCAAACCACUGACUACUUUUCAGAGUUUCUGCUACAGAAAAAAUGGAAAAUACUCAUAAUCAAAAAAGAAACAAAUGAAAAUGGAUCACAGUUCUAUUGCCCAUGUUUGGCUGCCCCCCUGCUUGAUUUCCACUAUAAGAUAUUCUGUCUUGCUGAUUAAUGAAUGUCGGUCUGUCCCUGGGAGUGUGUGGGCUCUGUGGCAGCUGAGGGUCAAGUUCAUAGCAGGUCCCCCAGCAUCAGGAGGGUGGUGCACGUGUGCUGCAGGGGGUGAUUAGAGGGAAGGCUGCCUGAGGGCCUCCAACUACUCAGGCCUCACAAGCGUCCUUCGAGGCAGGGCCUUACUGUUCUAGUCCCACAGGUUGGACACUGAGACACUUGUCUUCCAGCGACCAGCUUCUCCCAGCUGUGGCAUGGCUCACUCUGUGUUCACCUGAGCUCCAGGCUGA